AGUGAACGCUGGCGGCAGGCCUAACACAUGCAAGUCGAACGGCAGCACAGUAAGAGCUUGCUCUUACGGGUGGCGAGUGGCGGACGGGUGAGGAAUACAUCGGAAUCUACUUUUUCGUGGGGGAUAACGUAGGGAAACUUACGCUAAUACCGCAUACGACCUACGGGUGAAAGCAGGGGAUCUUCGGACCUUGCGCGAUUGAAUGAGCCGAUGUCGGAUUAGCUAGUUGGCGGGGUAAAGGCCCACCAAGGCGACGAUCCGUAGCUGGUCUGAGAGGAUGAUCAGCCACACUGGAACUGAGACACGGUCCAGACUCCUACGGGAGGCAGCAGUGGGGAAUAUUGGACAAUGGGCGCAAGCCUGAUCCAGCCAUACCGCGUGGGUGAAGAAGGCCUUCGGGUUGUAAAGCCCUUUUGUCGGGAAAGAAAAGCAGCAGGUUAAUACCCCGCUGUUCUGACGGUACCCAAAGAAUAAGCACCGGCUAACUUCGUG
Molecule: ribosomal RNA, 492 nt
Filed under: uncultured bacterium
Lineage: Bacteria
Description: partial 16S ribosomal RNA
Rfam family: Bacterial small subunit ribosomal RNA
Source: RNAcentral